This 253-nucleotide ribosomal RNA is filed under the name uncultured Eubacteriales bacterium. RNAcentral's name for it is "uncultured Clostridiales bacterium partial 16S ribosomal RNA". It matches the Rfam family "Bacterial small subunit ribosomal RNA", at positions 524 to 776 of the family's 1533-position model. The record is from RNAcentral. Lineage: Bacteria; Bacillati; Bacillota; Clostridia; Eubacteriales.
UACGGAAGGUCCGGGCGUUAUCCGGAUUUAUUGGGUUUAAAGGGUGCGUAGGCGGCUUAGUAAGUCAGAAGUGAAAGCCCGCAGCUCAACUGCGGGACUGCUUUUGAAACUGCCAAGCUAGAGUGUCGGAGAGGUAAGUGGAAUUCCUAGUGUAGCGGUGAAAUGCGUAGAUAUUAGGAGGAACACCAGUGGCGAAGGCGGCUUACUGGACUGUAACUGACGCUGAGGCUCGAAAGCGUGGGUAGCAAACAGG